This 86-nucleotide transfer RNA is filed under the name Felis catus (domestic cat). It matches the Rfam family "tRNA". Rfam says of the family: Transfer RNA (tRNA) molecules are approximately 80 nucleotides in length. Their secondary structure includes four short double-helical elements and three loops (D, anti-codon, and T loops). The record is from Rfam by way of RNAcentral. Lineage: Eukaryota; Metazoa; Chordata; Mammalia; Carnivora; Felidae.
ACCUGAGUGGCUCAGUCAGUUGAGCGUCUGACUUUGGCUCAGGUCACGAUCCUCAUGGUUUGUGGGUUUGAGCCCCAUUUUGGGCC